RNAcentral lists this long non-coding RNA (4795 nucleotides) under Hordeum vulgare. RNAcentral describes it as "long non-coding RNA (HVUL_LNC018753)". The record is from RNAcentral. Lineage: Eukaryota; Viridiplantae; Streptophyta; Magnoliopsida; Poales; Poaceae.
CAGCACAAACACACACAUACUAUAUAUAUAUAUAUCACAUGAACUUGAUCUAACACUUGGAUUAUAAAAUGGAACAAGUUCACAAGAUUGAACACAAACACAAGCUUGCAGAUUACUAACUCACAAAGCAAAAUCACAUAGACCAAACAUUAUACAUAGCAACUAGGCCUAACAUUUCAGAGAACACAAGAUGUAACAUGAUAUUACAAGUAUGAAACUGAACCAAAUCUGAAUAUUACAUAAUUCUGAACAUCACACUUCUCAAGUUUACAGAAAUUUGGGAGAGAGGGAGAGAGAUAACAGCAGCAACUAGUUGAAGGAAAAGAAGAGCUUCAGGUUAGGAGCAGCAGCAACAACGGUUUGGAGAGGGAGCAUCAGCAGGUCAAGGAAGAAGGAGCAACAGCAGAUCGUGGGAAAAGGAGCAACAACAGAGACGAGUGGAGAGGGAGCAGUAGCAGAUACGAGGGGAGAGGGAGCAGAAACUGAUACGAGGGGAGAAGGAUCAGCAGCAGAUCCAACAGGGACGUGGGGAGAGGGAGCAACAAGGGGGCGCUGGAGAGAGGAGCAGCAGUAGGGGAUGGGGAUCAGAGGACGGCGCUGGUGUGGAUGGUGGUGCUGGAGUGGAUGGACGGUUGGGUGGCGCCGGUGGCACGAUGGACGGAUGCAUGGAGAUGGUGGUACAGGGUGGUGUUGUUGGCGCACCUACCACGCCGGCAUGGCCGUGGUGGCGACUGGAGGUGGAGAAGGAGGGGUCAGGGAAGAAGAAGAUGGAGGUACUAGGCCCGAAGGGGAUCGAAGGCUUCUCUAGGGAUUUUGACCCCUCACGACUGAUUUCCUCCUUUGCAAUUUGGUCCCUCUACUUUUCUUCUUUCUGCACAAGUUGAUCCUCCCCUUGUUUAGUUUGACCCCUCGGUCUCUUCUUUCCUUCACGCUUCCAAACCUUGAAGUUUAUAGUGCCUUAGCGCACUUUUCUGCAAAAUAAACAAGUGACGAGUAAAUGAUGUUUUAUAUGACUUUCAUUCAAAUAUGUGAUAUUUCAUAGCAAGAAUAGAGGAAUAUAUCACAACAGAUGUUAUAUUUGAGUGCCUACUUAUCAAGUUCCCCCACACUUAAAUCUUUACUUGUCCUCAAGUAAAGGCAUAUCAGAGAGAAAGAUAGUGAACAGUAAACUGACUAAAGAAUGUCCAAGUGAAGUAGAUCUCUAAACAAUGCAUGCUUUGAACUUUGCUAGUGAAAAAUAAUGGUUAGGGUUGCUACAAACAAUAUGGUACUAGUAGACUUGAUCAUUUUAAUCUUUUACAAUGAUAGACGAAGAUCAACAAGUUUAAAUGAUGAUUGUUCCAAAAGGUUCCUAAAGAGAGCAUGAUCCCGAGGACAAGAACUUAAACUUGUGAUCAGAUCACUUAUUUAUAGAAAUAAAGCAAUGUGGUUAAACCACUUAUUGAAUUUGAAGGAAUCAAUGACAAUAUGUUAUUGGUCUAACCAAAGGAACAUACCACCGAUCCCGAGAACAUGGUAUACACCUGGCUCGACCAAUUAUUAGUUUUUUUUGUUUGUCUCCCAAAAGUAACAUGCCGCCGAUCCAAAGAACAUGGUAUACACCUGGUUCAACAAUUACAUUUUUUAUACUUAACUCCUAUCUCACCCAACCAGAUUUCACAAGCCACCGAUCCAGGGAACAUGGCAUGCUACUAUUAGGUAGAUCAUAUAAUUAUACAUUACAAUUUUAUUUUAUUUUUCAAACGAACAAAAACAAGAAUCAUCACUCAUCCAUGUCUGGUUCACAUGCUACCGAUCCAGGGAACAUAGCAUGCUAAUCCAUAGUGGUCAAGUAAUUGCUCUGAAUGGGAACACACUUGGCACAAAUUCAGCAUCUAAACAUAGUGAUCUAGGUGUAUCAAGGUAAAAGCAGAAAAUGGUGGAGUUUACUAGUGCACUAGGGAUUUGAGCACUCGAAACAAAUGACUUUUACUAAUUUCAGCAAAGCAAGCAUUGUAUAGAUCGGUAGUUUACGAGGCAUUCGGAAAUCAGUUCACAAAUUCAUAUCAAGCAUAAUAUGACAUAAGCAAAUUUCAGGAUGACACAAUUAACAAAUGUCACAAGAAACCCAAAUAUCAAAUGAUUUCAUCAUGUAUCAAUAUAUGAUUAUUUUAGAAUGGAUCAUGAAACAGCUCACCGGGCUUGGAUGAUGUAGCACUCGCUCGAUCAUCUCACCAACUGCAGCUCUUCUCCUCUUGCUUAUCGCAUGCCCGCUCCAACUUCACUCUUCUUCGUGUGUGCCCCUUGCUUCUCCUCUUCACCAUGCUUUGAAUCCACCAGGGUCCCAAGGAAUGUCACCUCAAACCUGGUCACCAUGUAGUAGAUCGUGCACAAGCAAAAACCUGAAAGACCACUCAACAACACAGACAAUGCAAGUGGUUGGUACAAUGCCCUCUAAAUCAUCAAUAGAGUACCCAAUUACAUAUCCAUAGCAAUAAAGCACAUGCUUAGGAUAGUAGGAAUAAGCAAGCUCAAUACUAGCAUGGUGAUGAUAUUUAUCAUUAAGCAUAGGUCUAGCAUGAGGAGAAUAAGUAUCAUCAAUAGAAAUAUGAGCAAUGUCACUAACAGGCUAAGUAUCAUCAUCUCCAAGCCAAUAAUUUUUCAAGUCUACUUUCACUGAUGGUGUCAUGAAAUGCAAGGUAUAAGCAAAGAAAUCAUAAGGAUGCAUAUCAUCAAGAGGAUUAGAAAAACCUGUUACAUCACACUCUUGUAUGACGAUUGGCAAAUGAAUCUCUAGUUCUUCAUCUUCAAGUACAACAGCUUCUUUUACUUCUUCAGGAGUGAGAGAUGAUGGUUCUUCUACUUGAUGACUUGGGCAUUCGAGCUCUAGAUCAUCUUGUGCCUUGGCUUCGAAUACAUCUUAAAUCUGAGGUCUCUCUUUCUCUUUGCGUAUGCUAUCUUGCUCAACUGAAUGUGAAGGUAUUGGAACCUCACAUGUAUCCAGGGAAAUCCCAGCAACACUCAGCUCAAGAAGUGAUGAGAUAGUACCUCCAGCAUUGAUAUUCUUCUCAAUAUUCCUCACUUCUUCCACUAGCUCUUUCCCACUCUUGAUCUUCUUAAUUUCCUCUAGUAUAACCUUCCUAAUAGGAUCAUCCUGAGCGCUCCAAGUGAACUCGAGGCUAAGAAGUGUGAGCUUCUCUAUGUCGUCAAAAUCAUCUUUAGUAGGCACUUGCACUGGAUACUCAACAUGCGUUGGAGGUGUUAGCUCACCAAAUGGAGGACCAUUUAACUCCAUUGGACACAUCUCCUGAUGCUGAGGUAUAUGAGUAGGAGCUGAAUAGAGUUGUUGUGGUGCAUAGUUGUGGCUCUCGUGUUCAUACCUAAAUCCCUGCAUAUGAUUUCUUGAAGCAAAUGGUGAGAUCUCAGGGUUGUUGCUCCUAUAUUACAUAUUCUGGUUUUCAGGCCACCCAUGUGAGUAAUUGUUGUGGUAUGAGCUAUGCUAUGGGGCAAAGCUCAUGCCAAAACAAUCUGGAGGGUAAGAGUAACCACGCUGACAUUCAGCGGGUGAAUGGCCCUGAAAUCCACAAAUAUAGCAUGUAGGAGCAGCAUAAGGAUGGCCUACAUAAUAAGGAUCAUAACAACUAGGUGCGUUCUCAACAUCUAUACCUCGCUGCUGAGCUAAUUCAUCUAAUUGAUGGGAAAUCUUACUUAUCAGGUCUUGAACACUUUUCGUGUUAUUUGUGCUAUUGCUCACAUAAGCAUGAUGAUCGGAGUAGAAUGCCAUUUCCAAGAAGAUUGUUCUAACCUCCAGAAAGGAAAAAAGAAAUAAAGAGGAAAUAUACUAGAACAGGGGUUAGUUGUCAGAGAUAUAUCACAUAAAAACGUCACAAAAAGAAAACAAGAAAAACCUAGUCUAUAGGCUAACACAAUAGCUCGACGCUAGUCCUCGGCAACGGCGCCAAAAUGAUCGAGUGUAAGUACAAUGCGGCUUUACGCCCAAACUGCGGGUUGUCGUGUUCUCCACAGGGAAUAGGCAAAUCAGCGACUAUGCUCGGCUAAAUCUAGGUAACAAAAUAUUUGGAAUGAUUGCGGGGAAAUAAACCUAAAUUUAUCUAAGAUCGUUCCGGAAAAUCGUCGAUCAAGAAAAUGCAAAACAAGCAAAAGGGAGGUUCANGUUGAAGGAAAAGAAGAGCUUCAGGUUAGGAGCACCAGCAGCAUCAGUUUGGAGAAGGAGCAACAGCAGGUCAAGGAAGAAGGACCAGCAGCAGAUCGUGGGAAAAAGAGAAGCAUCAGAGACGAGUGGAGAGGGAGCAGGAGCAGAUACGAGGGGAGAGAGAGCAGCAGCUGAUACGAGGGGAGAGGGAGCAACAGCAGAUCCAACAGGGACGUGGGGAGAGGGAGCAGCAAGGGGGCGCUAGAGAGAGGAGCAGCAGCAGGGGAUGGGGAUCAGACGACGACGCUGGUGUGGAUGGUGGUGCUGGAGUGGAUGGACGGUUGGGUGGCACGCUUGCGGUGGCACAGUGGACGGAUGGAUGGAGAUGGUGGUACACGGUGGUUAUGUUGGCGCGCCUAUCACGCCGGCCUGGCCGUGGCGGCGGCCAGAGGUGUAGAAGGAGGGGUGAGGGAAGAAGAAGAUGGAGGUACNNNNNNNNNNNNNNNNNNNNNNNNNNNNNNNNNNNNNNNNNNNNNNNNNNNNNNNNNNNNNNNNNNNNNNNNNNNNNNNNNNNNNNNNNNNNNNNNNNNNNNNNNNNNNNNNNNNNNAGAAGAAGAUGGAGGUACCAGGCCCGAAGGGGAUCAAAGGCUUCUCUAGGCUUCG